This is a long non-coding RNA of Ostrinia nubilalis (European corn borer), 293 nucleotides long. RefSeq lists it as uncharacterized. The transcript is spliced from 3 exons. NCBI's taxonomy places the organism in Eukaryota, Metazoa, Arthropoda, Insecta, Lepidoptera, Crambidae. The record is from RefSeq and is a predicted model, not a curated record.
UGGUAACUUAACAAGAUACAUGGCAAACUCCGGGAGGGGUCAUUGUUGAUCAGUGAAGAGAGGAGGAUUAAUUUGUCAUUUAAUGGGGAAUGCUAUCGCCGUUCAAUGAUAUAUCUAAAUUUGGAAUGGAACGUUUUCUGGUGAAGACAACGCAACUACAUUUUUGAACAGAAAUUGAGAGUCCAUGGUCUGUCAUCCAAGAGUUAAGAUGAGACGUACCAGUUUCUCCGGGAUACUCAGCAAGUGCAAUUUUUGCCUGAGCAAUGGGAGCAAAACGUUAUCAUACGCGGAGG